CUGAAAAUGCCUAGAUGGGUCGCCAGACUCCAUAAACA
This 38-nucleotide transfer RNA is filed under the name Homotherium latidens (European saber-tooth cat). RNAcentral's name for it is "partial tRNA-Phe". The record is from RNAcentral. Lineage: Eukaryota; Metazoa; Chordata; Mammalia; Carnivora; Felidae.